Molecule: long non-coding RNA, 894 nt
Filed under: Equus caballus (horse)
Lineage: Eukaryota; Metazoa; Chordata; Mammalia; Perissodactyla; Equidae
Description: lncRNA (ENSECAG00000037024.3)
Source: RNAcentral
UUUUAACAUUCUGGUUUUCUGGGCCUCGGUCCAGAGGACUUCUAAAUAAGUCCUUAUUUGAGGGGACUGCCUGUCCGCUGCCUUUUAGCAUCCUCCAACAAAUUAGUAACAAGUAGCGAUAAGUAUUAUGACGAUAGCGCCUGUGUAUUGAGCGCCUACUCGGUGCCAGGCCUUGGGUUCAGCGAUUUUCUACACUCAUCCCAUUUCAUUCUCACACUUGUCUAAAAAGGAGGGGGGUCUACCAUGAUGGCCAUUUUAAAGACGGGGAAACUGAGGCACAGAGGAAGGAGUCCCUUGGCCAAGUUCACAGAGGGGCAAACCGCAGGGUCAGGGCUGGUCUCAUUUCCAGGGCCAGGACUGCUAACCACCACCCUGCUGCCAGGUAGCCCCAGAAGCUUGCACAGGUUCGCUAAGCCAAAAAGGUUUGACGAAGGCUUGUGGAAUUUUCCUGUGGAUCCUGUGCCCUUUGAUUCUUAUGCCAGAUUACACACCGCAGAUUACGUGCAAGGACGCAGACAAUUGUGUCAGAGGAAGUCGUUAGAGGUACACAGGAGAACUUCGCAGACGGAGAUACUGAGGCCCAGAGCAGGGGGGAGACGCCCCAAGUAUCUCGUGGCAGGUUCAAUUUCUUCUCCGCCGUCACCAUCAUGAUCAUCUCGUGGAGUGAGAAACGCUCAGGUAGUUCAGUUUCCCCUGCAAAUGGACCACCAGACAAUUGAAGGAGUUAAAUGCUUAUUAAAAGUGCAGUUGUCUACUGCUGCAUAAUAUGUCACCAGCUGAAGGCUCAGCUGGAGCAGGAUUAAGUUCCAAGCACACAGCAGCUCACAACGUGGCAGCAGCCAUCGUCAUGGCCAGCCAGGGAGGGAGUUUGCUAGCAAGACAAGUCACAUCUUG